This 77-nucleotide transfer RNA is filed under the name Arthrobacter sp. NicSoilB4. Its description in RNAcentral is "tRNA-Ala". The record is from RNAcentral. Lineage: Bacteria; Bacillati; Actinomycetota; Actinomycetes; Micrococcales; Micrococcaceae.
GGCCAGGAUCGCCCGGCUGCCGGGCGCCGCCUGGCGCGCGGCCAAGGACGGACUGGAACGCGGUCCGGUCCUGGUCC